UAGCCUGCAGCUAGUUCAAAGUGG
This 24-nucleotide non-coding RNA is filed under the name Cricetulus griseus (Chinese hamster). The record is from RNAcentral. Lineage: Eukaryota; Metazoa; Chordata; Mammalia; Rodentia; Cricetidae.